GCUGAGUCUGGGUCUUUAGUGAGGUGGAGUCUGGAUGCUGAGUCUGGGUCUUUAGAGAGGUGGAGUCUGGAUGCUGAGUCUGGGUCUUUAGAGAGGUGGAGUCUGGAUGCUGAGUCUGGGUCUUUAGAGAGGUGGAGUCUGGAUGCUGAGUCUGGGUCUUUAGAGAGGUGGAGUCUGGAUGCUGAGUCUGGGUCUUUAGAGAGGUGGAGUCUGGAUGCUGAGUCUGGGUCUUUAGAGAGGUGGAGUCUGGAUGCUGAGUCUGGGUCUUUAGAGAGGUGGAGUCUGGAUGCUGAGUCUGGGUCUUUAGUGAGGUGGAGUCUGGAUGCUGAGUCUGGGUCUUUAGAGAGGUGGAGUCUGGAUGCUGAGUCUGGGUCUUUAGAGAGGUGGAGUCUGGAUGCUGAGUCUGGGGUUAGAGAGGUGGAGUCUGGAUGCUGAGUCUGGGUCUUUAGAGAGGUGGAGUCUGGAUGCUGAGUCUGGGUCUUUAGAGAGUGGAGUCUGGAUGCUGAGUCUGGGUCUUUAGUGAGGUGGAGUCUGGAUGCUGAGUCUGGGUCUUUAGUGAGGUGGAGUCUGGAUGCUGAGUCUGGGUCUUUAGUGAGGUGGAGUCUGGAUGCUGAGUCCGGGUCUUUAGAGAGGUGGAGUCUGGAUGCUGAGUCUGGGUCUUUAGAGAGGUGGAGUCUGGAUGCUGAGUCUGGGUCUUUAGAGAGGUGG
Molecule: long non-coding RNA, 708 nt
Organism: Oncorhynchus tshawytscha (Chinook salmon)
Lineage: Eukaryota; Metazoa; Chordata; Actinopteri; Salmoniformes; Salmonidae
Source: Ensembl